RNAcentral lists this long non-coding RNA (1526 nucleotides) under Gallus gallus (chicken). RNAcentral describes it as "lncRNA (ENSGALG00010001600.1)". The record is from RNAcentral. Lineage: Eukaryota; Metazoa; Chordata; Aves; Galliformes; Phasianidae.
AGUUGUGUGUGCCUGCAUUGUGCUCAUAAAAAGCUUGGGCUGUGAUAAUGGUACCUGGACAUUAUCAGAGCAUACAAUUACAGGAUAAGGGGGGUAAUCUCUUCCCUUCUGCCACCUUGCAGCACUUAUCGCAGCUCAGAUGGUGUUAAGAUGAGUAAGAUCUGACCUGGCAGCACAUGCAGUGAGAAUCUGCAAUGUUAGGAGUCUGCCGUUCCCAGAAAUGUGCAUUGCACGGUGAUGAUUAGGUUGGUCUAAAAACUCCAGCUUAAAAUUGAGCUUUGUUUAGACAUUGCCAUCGGUGUUCUUCUAGAAUUUUUCACUCACUCAAAGAUGGAUUAUUCACCCAGUAAUGAAAGAUGGGCAUGAAGGGAGGUCGGGAUGUUGGUGUGGAAACCACCAGGAGAUGUGAUGCUUGUGUCCCUCAGCCUCAGUGCUCACAAAACGACUGCUCUCAAAUGUUAUGCUUUUUCUACCCUAGAGGCAGAAGUUUUCCUGCUUACAGAGUGUAUUCAAAAAAAAGGGAAUGGAAUUGGAAUGCUAAGCAAUGCAUUAUUGGUGACACGGUGAGCAAAUAGGUUAUCAAUUUCUAAUGCACUCUCAGCAGCGCUGUACAAAAGCUGUGCAAAUUUGCUUUCUGUGUCGGCCAAAGGCAUCGUUGUACCAUGUGGGUGCAAUGAUUGGAGAGAACAGUUUGUAGUAGUUCACUAAACGAAGUUUAAGCCACUAUAUCUAAAUUAGGCGUUUGCCUUUGACAUCUUAUUAUUUCAUAAUUGUAACUACGAGGCUUUUCAGAGUGGGUAAUUGCUUUUUUUCCCCAAAGCUGCAUUAGUCUUCAAGGGCAAGUGAUGGUGAAAUAGAAGCCUGAGUGCCUGAAGUUGUAAAAUAAAGAGAAUCAAGCAUGAGCUAAGAGUAUAAUUCACAUAGAAACUCCCCUUCAGCUGCCGGGUCCCUCAUCUCAGAGCUGGUGGAAAAUGCUGCAGAGGAAUGGGUAGAACCCUGAAGAAAACUCAGGACAGUUUCAUGGUGGUGAUGGGCCAAGGCUGGAACUGUAGAUGCACGUGGAACUUCCCGAAGAGCUGUGUGGUUGUAGCAUGACAACCCAAUCUUCUCUUCCCUUGUGGGAUGCGGAGUUAAGGAAACCAUCCAAGUGCUAUCGGAAGCCAAAAACAGGUAUGAAGAUGGGGUAGCACCAUGUAAAAGCUGGAGUUCCCACUCAGAGCUAUUUAAUAUGCUUUUAUUCAUGGAAAGCUUUGUGGAAUUCAAACAGAAACCUUCUGGGAUAAAGUUCUGUCACCUCUCAGAGGGGUUUGGUUGCCAUUAUAGGGGACAGCAUCCCAUCUAUAAGAAUGGCACAAAGGGAAAUUAAAUUUGAGCUGAGCUUUACUUGCGUUUUUGACAUGGCUUUAAAUAUGGAAAACAUUAAACAGUGUAGAUUUGUGCUAGAUGGUGUUCUCUGUCAUAGAAGUAUCUCUGUGAGAGCUGAGCUAUGGUUUCUAAAGAGAAAAUAAAUGUCGACAUUACCAAGG